RNAcentral lists this ribosomal RNA (693 nucleotides) under Cryptosporidium scrofarum. RNAcentral's name for it is "SSU rRNA". It matches the Rfam family "Eukaryotic small subunit ribosomal RNA", at positions 140 to 894 of the family's 1831-position model. The record is from RNAcentral. Lineage: Eukaryota; Apicomplexa; Conoidasida; Eucoccidiorida; Cryptosporidiidae.
AGGCGUACCGUGGUAUUCUAGAGCUAUACAUGCGAAAAGACCUGACUUUACGGAAGGGUUGUAUUUAUUAGAUAAAGAACCAAUAUUUUUGGUGAUUCAUAAUAACUUUGCGGAUCACGUUAUGUGACAUAUCAUUCAAGUUUCUGACCUAUCAGCUUUAGACGGUAGGGUAUUGGCCUACCGUGGCUAUGACGGGUAACGGGGAAUUAGGGUUCGAUUCCGGAGAGGGAGCCUGAGAAACGGCUACCACAUCUAAGGAAGGCAGCAGGCGCGCAAAUUACCCAAUCCUAAUACAGGGAGGUAGUGACAAGAAAUAACAAUACAGAACCUCACGGUUUUGUAAUUGGAAUGAGUUAAGUAUAAACCCCUUAACGAGUAUCAAUUGGAGGGCAAGUCUGGUGCCAGCAGCCGCGGUAAUUCCAGCUCCAAUAGCGUAUAUUAAAGUUGUUGCAGUUAAAAAGCUCGUAGUUGAUUUUCUGUUAAUUUUUAUGUAUAAUAUUGCGAUAUUUACAUAAUAUUAACAUAAUUCACAUUACUUUACAGUAUGUGGAAUUUUACUUUGAGAAAAUUAGAGUGCUUAAAGCAGGCUAUUGCCUUGAAUACUCCAGCAUGGAAUAAUAUUAAGGAUUUUUAUUCUUCUUAUUGGUUCUAGAAUAAAAAUAAUGAUUAAUAGGAACAGUUGGGGGGCAUUUG